This 1030-nucleotide ribosomal RNA is filed under the name bacterium enrichment culture clone aHCH2_A7. RNAcentral's name for it is "bacterial SSU rRNA". It matches the Rfam family "Bacterial small subunit ribosomal RNA", at positions 51 to 1064 of the family's 1533-position model. The record is from RNAcentral.
ACACAUGCAGUCGAACGGAGAAUCAGCAAUGGUUCUUAGUGGCGAACGGGUGAGUAACGCGUAGACAACCUGCCUCAAAGAUGGGGACAACACCGCGAAAGUGGUGCUAAUACCGAAUGUUGCAUUGGAUUCGCAUGAAUCUGAUACUAAAGGUGGCCUCUUUAAAUGCUACCGCUUUGAGAUGGGUCUGCGUCUGAUUAGCUAGUUGGUGAGGUAACAGCUCACCAAGGCGAUGAUCAGUAGCCGGUCUGAGAGGAUGAACGGCCACACUGGGACUGAGACACGGCCCAGACUCCUACGGGAGGCAGCAGUGGGGAAUCUUCCGCAAUGGACGAAAGUCUGACGGAGCAACGCCGCGUGAGUGAAGAAGGUUUUCGGAUCGUAAAGCUCUGUCUUUGAGGACGAAUGUACUUAAUGUAAAUAAUGUUAAGUAAUGACGGUACUCGAGGAGGAAGCCACGGCUAACUACGUGCCAGCAGCCGCGGUAAUACGUAGGUGGCAAGCGUUGUCCGGAAUUAUUGGGCGUAAAGCGCGCGCAGGCGGGAUAUUAAGUCUGUCUUAAAAGUUCGGGGCUCAACCCCGUGAUGGGAUGGAAACUAAUAUUCUUGAGUGCAGGAGAGGAAAGUGGAAUUCCCAGUGUAGCGGUGAAAUGCGUAGAUAUUGGGAGGAACACCAGUGGCGAAGGCGACUUUCUGGACUGUGUCUGACGCUGAGGCGCGAAAGCCAGGGGAGUGAACGGGAUUAGAUACCCCGGUAAUCCUGGCCGUAAACGAUGGGUACUAGGUGUAGGAGGUAUCGACCCCUUCUGUGCCGGAGUUAACGCAAUAAGUACCCCGCCUGGGAGUACGGCCGCAAGGUUGAAACUCAAAGGAAUUGACGGGGGCCCGCACAAGCGGUGGAGUAUGUGGUUUAAUUCGACGCAACGCGAAGAAUCUUACCAGGACUUGACAUCGAUUGAAAGUUCUAGAGAUAGAACUCUUCUCUUCGGAGAACAAGAAGACAGGUGGUGCAUGGCUGUCGUCAGCUCGUG